GAUGAACGCUAGCGGCAGGCCUAAUACAUGCAAGUCGAGGGGCAGCACGGGUAGCAAUACUUGGUGGCGACCGGCGCACGGGUGCGUAACACGUAUACAAUCUGCCUUUAACAGGGGGAUAGCCCGGAGAAAUCCGGAUUAAUACCCCAUAAUAUAUUGAGUGGCAUCACUUGAUAUUGAAAGCUCCGGCGGUUAAAGAUGAGUAUGCGCCUGAUUAGUUAGUUGGUGAGGUAACGGCUCACCAAGACGACGAUCAGUAGGGGAUCUGAGAGGACUACCCCCCACACGGAUACUGAGACACGGAUCCGACUCCUACGGGAGGCAGCAGUAAGGAAUAUUGGACAAUGCCCGCAAGGGUGAUCCAGCCAUGCCGCGUGCAGGAAGACGGCCCUAUGGGUUGUAAACUGCUUUUACACCGGAGAAAACCCCCUACGUGUAGGGGGCUGAUAGUAUGGUGAGAAUAAGCAUCGGCUAACUUCGUGCCAGCAGCCGCGGU
Molecule: ribosomal RNA, 496 nt
Filed under: uncultured bacterium
Lineage: Bacteria
Description: bacterial SSU rRNA
Rfam family: Bacterial small subunit ribosomal RNA
Source: RNAcentral